CAGUCGCCGCGGGAAUACAGAGGGUGCGAGCGUUAAUCGGAUUUACUGGGCGUAAAGCGUGCGUAGGCGGAUUCUUAAGUCGGAUGUGAAAUCCCUGAGCUUAACUUAGGAAUUGCAUUCGAUACUGGGAAGCUAGAGUAUGGGAGAGGAUGGUAGAAUUCCAGGUGUAGCGGUGAAAUGCGUAGAGAUCUGGAGGAAUACCGAUGGCGAAGGCAGCCAUCUGGCCUAAUACUGACGCUGAGGUACGAAAGCAUGGGGAGCAAACAGGAUUAGAUACCCGGGUAGUCCCUGUCUCUUAUAC
Molecule: ribosomal RNA, 301 nt
Filed under: uncultured bacterium
Lineage: Bacteria
Description: partial 16S ribosomal RNA
Rfam family: Bacterial small subunit ribosomal RNA
Source: RNAcentral